RNAcentral lists this ribosomal RNA (1272 nucleotides) under Salmonella enterica subsp. enterica serovar Kentucky. Its description in RNAcentral is "partial 23S ribosomal RNA". It matches the Rfam family "Bacterial large subunit ribosomal RNA", at positions 532 to 1704 of the family's 2925-position model. The record is from RNAcentral. Lineage: Bacteria; Pseudomonadati; Pseudomonadota; Gammaproteobacteria; Enterobacterales; Enterobacteriaceae.
AGGGGAGUGAAAAAGAACCUGAAACCGUGUACGUACAAGCAGUGGGAGCCCCACCACCAAAGCAUUCUCUGGUGUUGAAGGCCCUGCAAAGCAGCAUCGCGGUGGCGGAGCGUCGUUUGCGACGCCCAACACACAAAACAAGCGGUGAGUGCUUUGGGGUGGGGUGACUGCGUACCUUUUGUAUAAUGGGUCAGCGACUUAUAUUCUGUAGCAAGGUUAACCGUAUAGGGGAGCCGAAGGGAAACCGAGUCUUAACUGGGCGUUAAGUUGCAGGGUAUAGACCCGAAACCCGGUGAUCUAGCCAUGGGCAGGUUGAAGGUUGGGUAACACUAACUGGAGGACCGAACCGACUAAUGUUGAAAAAUUAGCGGAUGACUUGUGGCUGGGGGUGAAAGGCCAAUCAAACCGGGAGAUAGCUGGUUCUCCCCGAAAGCUAUUUAGGUAGCGCCUCGUGAACUCAUCUUCGGGGGUAGAGCACUGUUUCGGCUAGGGGGUCAUCCCGACUUACCAACCCGAUGCAAACUGCGAAUACCGAAGAAUGUUAUCACGGGAGACACACGGCGGGUGCUAACGUCCGUCGUGAAGAGGGAAACAACCCAGACCGCCAGCUAAGGUCCCAAAGUCACAGUUAAGUGGGAAACGAUGUGGGAAGGCUCAGACAGCCAGGAUGUUGGCUUAGAAGCAGCCAUCAUUUAAAGAAAGCGUAAUAGCUCACUGGUCGAGUCGGCCUGCGCGGAAGAUGUAACGGGGCUAAACUGUGCACCGAAGCUGCGGCAGCGACGCUUAUGCGUUGUUGGGUAGGGGAGCGUUCUGUAAGCCUGCGAAGGUGUCCUGUGAGGGAUGCUGGAGGUAUCAGAAGUGCGAAUGCUGACAUAAGUAACGAUAAUGCGGGUGAAAAGCCCGCUCGCCGGAAGACCAAGGGUUCCUGUCCAACGUUAAUCGGGGCAGGGUGAGUCGACCCCUAAGGCGAGGCCGAAAGGCGUAGUCGAUGGGAAACGGGUUAAUAUUCCCGUACUUGGUGUUACUGCGAAGGGGGGACGGAGAAGGCUAUGUUGGCCGGGCGACGGUUGUCCCGGUUUAAGCGUGUAGGCUGGUUUUCCAGGCAAAUCCGGAAAAUCAAGGCUGAGGCGUGAUGACGAGGCACUACGGUGCUGAAGCAACAAAUGCCCUGCUUCCAGGAAAAGCCUCUAAGCAUCAGGUAACAUCAAAUCGUACCCCAAACCGACACAGGUGGUCAGGUAGAGAAUACCAAGGCGCUUGAGAGAACUCGGG